UUACUUGCAAUUUUUUUUCCGUGGUUGGUCCACCGUGUUGUCAUUUUCAUUCGACGUUCUUGUCGAUUUCGGAACGGGUUCGGAAAAAUCGCGAAAUCGUUUAGUUAUAAAUUACCGACCACAGACAGAAUGCGAGAAAUGAUUUAUAAUUCUGAAAGACGGCCGCGAAACAAAACGAAAACGAAUACGUUCGGUACCGAUCGCAUCGGCGUUCGCCG
Non-coding RNA from Cinara cedri, 218 nucleotides. The record is from the annotation of a GenBank genome assembly. Lineage: Eukaryota; Metazoa; Arthropoda; Insecta; Hemiptera; Aphididae.